This 342-nucleotide ribosomal RNA is filed under the name Triticum aestivum (bread wheat). RNAcentral's name for it is "partial small subunit ribosomal RNA". The record is from RNAcentral. Lineage: Eukaryota; Viridiplantae; Streptophyta; Magnoliopsida; Poales; Poaceae.
AUGUCACUAGGAGUCUUGGUAUGGAAUGUUAGGGGGCUCAAUAACCCCGCUAGGCGAUGCUCGAUCCGGUUGUUUAUGCAGACUUGCAAUGUACCUCUUGUUUAUUUUCAAGAAUCCAAGUUGGCUGUUGUGGACUCGGUGGUGAUAAACCAGACUCUCGGGCCAGGUUUUGAUGAUUUCGAUUUCUUGCCAGCGGUGGGCGCUAGGGGUGGUAUUCUGUUGGCAUGGAAGGCAUAUCAUCUGCGUGUGACUGAUAUUCACAAGGGCGAAUUCAUGAUCUCGGCUAAGGUUCUCUCCCUGACAGACGGAAAAGAAUGGAUGGUCUCCACAGUGUACGGUCCA